This 945-nucleotide ribosomal RNA is filed under the name uncultured bacterium. Its description in RNAcentral is "bacterial SSU rRNA". It matches the Rfam family "Bacterial small subunit ribosomal RNA", at positions 502 to 1439 of the family's 1533-position model. The record is from RNAcentral.
UACGUGCCAGCAGCCGCGNUAAUACGUAGGGCGCGAGCGUUNUCCGGAAUUAUUGGGCGUAAAGAGNUCGUAGGCGGCUGGUCGCGUCUGUCGUGAANUCCCCUGGCUUAACUGGGGGCUUGCGGUGGGUACGGGCCGGCUUGAGUGCGGUAGGGGAGGCUGGAACUCCUGGUGUAGCGGUGGAAUGCGCAGAUAUCAGGAAGAACACCGGUGGCGAAGGCGGGUCUCUGGGCCGUUACUGACGCUGAGGAGCGAAAGCGUGGGGAGCGAACAGGAUUAGAUACCCUGGUAGUCCACGCCGUAAACGUUGGGCACUAGGUGUGGGGGGCCUUUUCCGGGUUUUCCGCGCCGUAGCUAACGCAUUAAGUGCCCCGCCUGGGGAGUACGGCCGCAAGGCUAAAACUCAAAGGAAUUGACGGGGGCCCGCACAAGCGGCGGAGCAUGCGGAUUAAUUCGAUGCAACGCGAAGAACCUUACCAAGGCUUGACAUGUGCCGGUCGGCUCCGGAGACGGGGUUUCCUCCUUGUGGGGCCGGUUCACAGGUGGUGCAUGGUUGUCGUCAGCUCGUGUCGUGAGAUGUUGGGUUAAGUCCCGCAACGAGCGCAACCCUUGUCUCGUGUUGCCAGCACGUUGUGGUGGGGACUCGCGGGAGACUGCCGGGGUCAACUCGGAGGAAGGUGGGGAUGACGUCAAAUCAUCAUGCCCCUUAUGUCUUGGGCUUCACGCAUGCUACAAUGGCCGGUACAGAGGGCUGCGAUACCGUGAGGUGGAGCGAAUCCCUUAAAGCCGGUCUCAGUUCGGAUCGGUGUCUGCAACUCGACACCGUGAAGUUGGAGUCGCUAGUAAUCGCAGAUCAGCAACGCUGCGGUGAAUACGUUCUCGGGCCUUGUACACACCGCCCGUCACGUCAUGAAAGUCGGCAACACCCGAAGCCCGUGGCCUUAC